Molecule: transfer RNA, 74 nt
Filed under: Canibacter oris
Lineage: Bacteria; Bacillati; Actinomycetota; Actinomycetes; Micrococcales; Microbacteriaceae
Rfam family: tRNA
About the family: Transfer RNA (tRNA) molecules are approximately 80 nucleotides in length. Their secondary structure includes four short double-helical elements and three loops (D, anti-codon, and T loops). Further hydrogen bonds mediate the characteristic L-shaped molecular structure. tRNAs have two regions of fundamental functional importance: the anti-codon, which is responsible for specific mRNA codon recognition, and the 3' end, to which the tRNAs corresponding amino acid is attached (by aminoacyl-tRNA synthetases). tRNAs cope with the degeneracy of the genetic code in two manners: having more than one tRNA (with a specific anti-codon) for a particular amino acid; and 'wobble' base-pairing, i.e. permitting non-standard base-pairing at the 3rd anti-codon position.
Source: Rfam by way of RNAcentral
GGGGGGUUAGCUCAGUCGGUUAGAGCAGCGGACUCAUAAUCCGCCGGUCGUGGGUUCAAGCCCCACACUCCCCA